CGUCGAGGGAAGGCCCUUCGGGGUACUCGAGCGCGAAGGGUGAGUAACACGUAGUAACCUGCCCCUGACUCUGGGAAGCCCGGGAAACUGGGUCUAAUACCGGAUACGACACCUGGCAUCGGGUGGGUGUGGAAAGUUUCGGUUGGGAUGGACUCGCGGCCUAUCAGCUUUUGGUGGGGUAAUGGCCUACCAAGGCGACGACGGGUAGCCGGCCUGAGAGGGCGACCGCCACAUGGGACUGAGACACGGCCCAGACUCCUACGGGCAGCAGUGGGGAAUAUUGCGCAUGGGCGAAAGCCUGCGCAGCGACGCCGCGUGGGGGAUGACGGCCUUCGGGUUGUAAACCUCUUUCAGCAGGGACAGUUGACGUGUACCUGCAGAAGAAGCGCCGGCUAACUACGUGCCAGCAGCCGCGGUAAUACGUAGGCGCAAGCGUUGUCCGGAAUUAUUGGGCGUAAAGAGCUCGUAGGUGGCUUGUCACGGGGUGUGAAAGCUUGGGGCUUAACUCCAGGUCUGCAUUCGAUACGGGCUGGCUAGAUAGUAGGGGAGAACGGAAUUCCUGGUGUAGCGGUGAAAUGCGAGAUAUCAGGAGGAACACCGGGGCGAAGGCGGUUCUCUGGGCCUUACCUGACGCUGAGAGCGAAAGCGUGGGGAGCGAAAGGAUUAGAUACCCUGGUAGUCCACGCUGUAAACGUUGGCGCUAGGUGUGGGGACCUUCACGGUUUCCGCGCCGUAGCUAACGCAUUAAGCGCCCCGUGGGAGUACGGCGCAAGGCUAAACUCAAAGAAUUGACGGGGGCCGCACAAGCGGCGAGCAUGUUGCUUAAUCGACGCAACGGAAGAACUUACCAAGGCUGACAUCGCCGGAAAGCUCAGAGAUGGGCCCUCUUCGGACUGGGUACAGGUGGUCAUGGCUGUCGUCACUCGUGUCGUGGAUGUUGGGUUAAGUCCGCAACGAGCCAACCUUGUUCAAUGUUGCCACACGCUCCUUGUGGGUGGUGGGACUCAUGGAGACUGCCGGGUCAACUCGGAGGAAGGUGGGGAGACGUCAAGUCAUCUGCCCUUAUGCUUGGCUGCAAAAUGCUCAAUGGCCGGUACAAGGGUGCGAUACCGAAGGUGGGCGAAUCCUAAAAGCCGGUUCAGUCGGAUUGGGGUCUGCACUCGACCAUGAAGUCGGAGUCCUAUAAUCGCAGAUCAGCAACCUGCGGUGAAUACGUCCGGGCCUUGUACACACGCCCGUCCGUCACGAAAGUCGGCAACACCCGAGCCGGGCCCAACAGCUUGUCUGGGGAGCGUCGAAGGUGGGGCUGCGAUUGGACGAAGC
This 1323-nucleotide ribosomal RNA is filed under the name Streptosporangium amethystogenes. RNAcentral describes it as "bacterial SSU rRNA". It matches the Rfam family "Bacterial small subunit ribosomal RNA". The record is from RNAcentral. Lineage: Bacteria; Bacillati; Actinomycetota; Actinomycetes; Streptosporangiales; Streptosporangiaceae.